UACGGAGGGUGCAAACGUUGCUCGGAAUUAUUGGGCGUAAAGCGCACGUAGGUGGUUCGGUAAGUUGGAUGUGAAAUCCCUCGGCUCAACUGAGGAAGUGCAUUCAAUACUGCCAGACUUGAGUACCAGAGAGGGCUGCGGAAUUCCCGGUGUAGAGGUGAAAUUCGCAGAUAUCGGGAGGAACACCAGAGGCGAAGGCGGCGGCCUAGAUGGAUACUGACACUGAGGUGCGAAAGCGUGGGGAGCAAACAGG
RNAcentral lists this ribosomal RNA (253 nucleotides) under uncultured bacterium. Its description in RNAcentral is "partial 16S ribosomal RNA". It matches the Rfam family "Bacterial small subunit ribosomal RNA", at positions 524 to 776 of the family's 1533-position model. The record is from RNAcentral.